This 306-nucleotide ribosomal RNA is filed under the name uncultured bacterium. RNAcentral describes it as "partial 16S ribosomal RNA". It matches the Rfam family "Bacterial small subunit ribosomal RNA", at positions 507 to 807 of the family's 1533-position model. The record is from RNAcentral.
GACAGCAGCAGCCACGGUAAUACAGAGGGUGCGAGCGUUAAUCGGAUUUACUGGGCGUAAAGGGCGCGUAGGCGGUUUGGCAAGUUUGGUGUGAAAUCUUCGGGCUCAACUCGAAGUCUGCACCGAAAACUGCCGGGCUUGAGUAUGGGAGAGGUGAGUGGAAUUUCCGGUGUAGCGGUGAAAUGCGUAGAUAUCGGAAGGAACACCUGUGGCGAAAGCGGCUCACUGGACCAUUACUGACGCUGAGGCGCGAAAGCUAGGGGAGCAAACAGGAUUAGAUACCCCCGUAGUCCCUGUCUCUUAUAC